GGGCCCGCACAAGCGGUGGAGCAUGUGGUUUAAUUCGACGCAACGCGCAGAACCUUACCAGCCCUUGACAUGUCCAGGACCGGUCGCAGAGAUGUGACCUUCUCUUCGGAGCCUGGAGCACAGGUGCUGCAUGGCUGUCGUCAGCUCGUGUCGUGAGAUGUUGGGUUAAGUCCCGCAACGAGCGCAACCCCCGUCCUUAGUUGCUACCAUUUAGUUGAGCACUCUAAGGAGACUGCCGGUGAUAAGCCGCGAGGAAGGUGGGGAUGACGUCAAGUCCUCAUGGCCCUUACGGGCUGGGCUACACACGUGCUACAAUGGCGGUGACAAUGGGAUGCAAAGGCGCGAGCCCUAGCAAAUCUCAAAAAGCCGUCUCAGUUCGGAUUGGACUCUGCAACUCGAGUCCAUGAAGUUGGAAUCGCUAGUAAUCGUGGAUCAGCAUGCCACGGUGAAUACGUUCCCGGGCCUU
Molecule: ribosomal RNA, 466 nt
Filed under: uncultured Pseudomonas sp.
Lineage: Bacteria; Pseudomonadati; Pseudomonadota; Gammaproteobacteria; Pseudomonadales; Pseudomonadaceae
Description: bacterial SSU rRNA
Rfam family: Bacterial small subunit ribosomal RNA
Source: RNAcentral